Molecule: non-coding RNA, 137 nt
Organism: Hordeum vulgare subsp. vulgare (domesticated barley)
Lineage: Eukaryota; Viridiplantae; Streptophyta; Magnoliopsida; Poales; Poaceae
Source: Rfam
CAUGUACUCCCUUUGCCCCAAUUUUUUUUGUUUUAGAUUUGUCUAGAAAUGAAUGUAUCUAAAUACUAAAAUGUGACUAGAUGCAUUCAUCUUUAGACAAAUCUAAGACAAGAAUUUUGGGACUGAGGGAAUACAUA